Myotis davidii is the source of this 76-nucleotide non-coding RNA. The record is from Rfam. Lineage: Eukaryota; Metazoa; Chordata; Mammalia; Chiroptera; Vespertilionidae.
GGCGGUUCUCAGGUGAUGCACCCCCAAAUCAAGCUCCCUCCUCUCUGGUUCCGGGGUGCGUCACCUGAGAACUGCC